Molecule: transfer RNA, 73 nt
Filed under: Candidatus Campbelliibacteriota bacterium
Lineage: Bacteria; Candidatus Campbelliibacteriota
Description: Candidatus Campbellbacteria bacterium tRNA-His
Rfam family: tRNA
About the family: Transfer RNA (tRNA) molecules are approximately 80 nucleotides in length. Their secondary structure includes four short double-helical elements and three loops (D, anti-codon, and T loops). Further hydrogen bonds mediate the characteristic L-shaped molecular structure. tRNAs have two regions of fundamental functional importance: the anti-codon, which is responsible for specific mRNA codon recognition, and the 3' end, to which the tRNAs corresponding amino acid is attached (by aminoacyl-tRNA synthetases). tRNAs cope with the degeneracy of the genetic code in two manners: having more than one tRNA (with a specific anti-codon) for a particular amino acid; and 'wobble' base-pairing, i.e. permitting non-standard base-pairing at the 3rd anti-codon position.
Source: RNAcentral
GUGUCUGUAGCUCAAUUGGUAGAGCGCUUCUCUGUGGCAGAAGUGGUUGCGGGUUCAAGUCCCGUCAGACACC